GGAAAGGUGAAAAGAACCCCGAACAGGGGAGUGAAAUAGAACCUGAAACCAUACGCUUACAACCUGUCGGAGCAGCUUCGUGCUGUGACGGCGUGCCUAUUGAAUAAUGAGCCUACGAGUUACUAAUCACUGGCGAGGUUAAGUGCACGGAUGCACGGAGCCGAAGCGAAAGCGAGUCUUAAUAGGGCGUUUAGUCAGUGGUUGUAGACGCGAAACCUUGCGAUCUACCCUUGAGCAGGUUGAAGGUUGGGUAAAACCAACUGGAGGACCGAACGAAUAAGCGUUGAAAAGCUUCUCGAUGACUUGAGGGUAGGGGUGAAAGGCUAAUCAAGCUGGGAAAUAGCUCGUACUCCCCGAAAUGCCUUUAGGGGCAGCGUUGUAAUAAAGAGUCUACUGGAGGUAGAGCUACUGAUUGGAUGCGGGGGCUUCACCGCCUACCAAAUCCUGACAAACUCCGAAUGCCAGUAGUAUGAUUUACAGCAGUGAGCGACCGGGUGCUAAUGUCCGGUUACGAGAGUGGAACAACACAGACCAGCAACUAAGGUCCCCAAGAGUAUACUAAGUUGAUCUAACGAUGUUUUGUUGCAGAGACAGCUAGGAUGUUAGCUUGGAAGCAGCUAUUCAUUCAAAGAGUGCGUAACAGCUCACUAGUCGAGCGACAAAGCGUGGAUAAUAAACGGGCAUCAAGUAUACCACCGAAGUUCUGGGCACGAAAGUGCGGUAGGGGAGCAUUCCAUUCAGCGUCGAAGCCGAAUCGUGAGAUUUGGUGGAGCGUAUGGAAAAGCAAAUGUAGGCAUGAGUAACGAUAAUGCGGGAGAGUAACCCGCACACCGCAAGACCAAGGUUUCCUGAUCAACGCUAAUCGGAUCAGGGUUAGUCGGGUCCUAAGGGUAAGCCGAACGGCGAUCUCGAUGGAUAAUCGGUUAAUAUUCCGAUACUGACAUAUACCUCGAUGGAGAGACGAAGGAACGUAAGUGCCGCCACCUGACGGAAUAGGUGGUUAAAGGGCUUAGGUAUAGGGGCAGAUUAAGAGUUAGUCCUUGCUGAAACCUGACAGUACAGAGAGCCUACGGGCAAUUUGAUAGUGCACCCAAGUCGACUUCCGAGAAAAUCUUCUAAGUUAUAGUAUAUGUCACCCGUACCGUAAACCGACACAGGUGGUCGAGGAGAGUAUCCUAAGGUGCUCGAGUGAAUCACGGUUAAGGAACUAGGCAAAUUAACCCCGUAACUUCGGGAAAAGGGGUCCCAUCGCGAGGUGGGCGCAGCGAAGAGGUCCAGGCGACUGUUUAUCAAAAACACAGGGCUCUGCAAAUUCGAAAGAAGACGUAUAGGGCCUGACACCUGCCCGGUGCUGGAAGGUUAAGAGGGGAUGUCAUCGCAAGAGAAGCAUUGAAUCGAAGCCCCAGUAAACGGCGGCCGUAACUAUAACGGUCCUAAGGUAGCGAAAUUCCUUGUCGGGUAAGUUCCGACCUGCACGAAUGGUGUAACGAUCUGGACACUGUCUCAACCGUGAGCUCGGUGAAAUUGUAGUCCCGGUGAUGAUGCCGGGUACCCGCAACGGGACGAAAAGACCCCGUGAACCUUUACUAUAGCUUAACGCUGAAUUUGGGUACACAAUGUGUAGGAUAGGC
Molecule: ribosomal RNA, 1631 nt
Filed under: human gut metagenome
Description: bacterial LSU rRNA
Rfam family: Bacterial large subunit ribosomal RNA
Source: RNAcentral